Molecule: ribosomal RNA, 254 nt
Filed under: uncultured bacterium
Lineage: Bacteria
Description: partial 16S ribosomal RNA
Rfam family: Bacterial small subunit ribosomal RNA
Source: RNAcentral
UACGUAGGGGGGCAAGCGUUGUCCGGAAUUACUGGGCGUAAAGAGCUCGUAGGUGGUUUGUCGCGUUGUUCGUGAAAACUCACAGCUUAACUGUGGGCGUGCGGGCGAUACGGGCAGACUUGAGUACUGCAGGGGAGACUGGAAUUCCUGGUGUAGCGGUGAAAUGCGCAGAUAUCAGGAGGAACACCGAUGGCGAAGGCAGGUCUCUGGGCCGAUACUGACGCUGAGGAGCGAAAGCGUGGGGAGCGAACAGG